GCUAAGCUAUCGCUGCCAACCUCUCUAUUGCUGCAAGCUAUCCCUCGCUGCUAAGCUAUCGCUGCCAACCUAUCUAUCGCUGCCAACCUAUCUAUCGCUGCCAAUUUAUCUACCACUGCCAAUCUAUCUAUUGCUGCUAAUCUAUCACUGCUGUCAAUCUAUCUAUCGCUGCUAAUCUAUCUAUCGCUGCUAAUCUAUCACCGCUGCCAAUCUAUCCCUCACUGCUAAGCUAUCCCUCGCUGCUAAGCUAUCACAGCCAAUCUAUCGCUGCUAAUCUAUCACUGCCAACCUAUCUACCGCGGCGAAUCUAUCUAUCGCUGCCAAUUUAUCUACCACUGCCAAUCUAUCUAUCGCUGCCAAUCUAUUGCUGCUAAUCUAUCGCUGCUAAUCUAUCGCUGCUGUCAAUCUAUCUUUCGCUGCUAAUCUAUCGCCGCUGCCAAUCUAUCCCUCGCUGCUAAGCUAUCCCUCGCUGCUAAGCUAUCCCUCACUGCUAAGCUAUCUCUCGCUGCUAAGCUAUCCCUCACUGCUAAGCUAUCCCUCGCUGCUAAGCUAUCCCUCACUACUAAGCUAUCUAUCACUGCUAAUCUAUCACUGCCAAUCUAUCUAUCACUGCCAAUCUAUCUAUCACUGCUAAUCUAUCACUGCUAAUCUAUCGCUGCUAAUCUAUCACUGCUAAUCUAUCGCUGCUAAUCUAUCGCUGCUAAUCUAUCACUGCUAAUCUAUCGCUGCUAAUCUAUCACUGCUAAUCUAUCGCUGCCAACCUAUCUACCGCGGUGAAUCUAUCUAUCACUAUCAUUACUAGUUCAAAAUAGAACUAGAGCAUAAAUACACUAAACUUCUUUUGAUAGAUAAUGAUUUUUGGUAACACUCAUAGCAUUAUAUCAUCUAUAUAGGGUGAAUCGUGGUCCCAUUUGGUCCCAUUUUAACAAAAUGAGACCAAAUGGGACCAGAAUCAGUAAUUUAUAAGAAGAACAUGAUCUGGGACUAGAUUUAUAAUAUAAACAGUGUAAAGUGACUAAUUUAAUAAACACUAUAUGGAACC
This 1042-nucleotide small RNA is filed under the name Histoplasma ohiense. RNAcentral describes it as "hypothetical lncRNA". Lineage: Eukaryota; Fungi; Ascomycota; Eurotiomycetes; Onygenales; Ajellomycetaceae. The record is from RNAcentral.